This 2241-nucleotide ribosomal RNA is filed under the name Triticum aestivum (bread wheat). Its description in RNAcentral is "partial small subunit ribosomal RNA". Lineage: Eukaryota; Viridiplantae; Streptophyta; Magnoliopsida; Poales; Poaceae. The record is from RNAcentral.
AUGGGUCGUGUUGCAAGGGAGCUUCGCGUCAUACAUGAUGUUGUUUGUCAAAUGGACAUUCAAAACAGCAACAAUCAAGUAUAUGAGGGCUGGUUGGAGGAAGUACGGAAGGUAGCACAUGUGAUGGAAGACAUAGUGGAUGAGUACUUGUAUCUAAUUGAUCAGGAACAUGAUAUAUGGUGUUGCUUUUACCUGAAGCAAGGGUUCAUAAAACCAGGAUCUCUGCUUUAUUUGAACCAGAUAGCUUUCAAGGCGAAGGAAAUAGAGAAAGACCUUGCACACCUGUCAGAGAUGAAAAAUCGUUGGGUCCCCAUGAUACAGAACGAGGAUACUAGCAGCUCGAAUUACAUUGUCAAGAGGUCCCAAGAUCUAGAAAACAUUUCACGUUCCCUUAAUGAAGAAGAUUUAGUGGGGGUGGAUAAAAACAGAGAGAUACUUGAGCAGUGGUUGGCACGUGCUGUUUUGGAGUGCCCCGUGAUAGCACUGCUUGGAAUGGAAGGACUUGGUAAAACAACUUUAGCUGCAAAUGUCUAUAGGAAGCAGAGAGAGCAAUUCCAGUGCCAUGUGUGGGUCUCCAUUUCUCAAACUUAUUCUAGAGAGGAUGUCCUGAGGAAUACAAUCAACGAACUUUUCAAAGAUAAUGUCAGUGUUCUGUCUAACACCGCGGCGAUGGACAUCACAUGCCUUGAAGAGACACUGAAAAGAUUUCUGGAGCAACUUAAGUAUUUGAUCAUACUGGAUGACGUUUGGACUCCACAAGCAUUUGAUGACUUGUCUAGAGUGCUUAUUCAUAAUGACAACGGCAGCAGAUUGAUAAUUACCACAAGGGAAGUUGGUAGCCUCUUGCGUGUGCGUGAGAAAACUGUGGAAGAAUGGAGAAGAAUAAAUGACCAACUGAGUUGGGAGCUAAUUAAUAACUUGAGGCUUGAUCAGAUAAGGAAUAUUUUGCAUCUGAGCUUCAUCUACCUUCCAACACACUUGAAAAGUUGUUUCCUAUACUGCAGUUUAUUCCCAGAAGACUAUCUUUUCAAAAGGAAACAACUUGUACGGUUAUGGAUAGCAGAGGGAUUCAUUGAGGAGAGGGGUGAAAGCACAUUAGAAGAAGUGACAAAAGGCUAUCUAAAGGAGUUAAUUGAUAGAAACAUGCUACAACUUGUUAAAAGGAACUCAUUUGGUAGGACGAAGGAAUUCAGAAUGCAUGAUAUCUUACGAGAAUUGGCCGUUGAUUUGUGUCAAAAGGAUUGUUUUGGUGUUACAUAUGAGGAUAAAUGUGGGGGUUCCCUUGACAUGGACGGGCGUCGAUUGGUAAUGCAUAAGCUAAAGAAGGAUAUUCAGCACUCGUUUUCUAGUAUACACCAACUUCGAACCGUCAUUGUAGUGGAUGAUAACAUGCCAUCAUUCACUCUACUACCUCUGUUAUGUAAGAAGUCAAGAUAUAUGACAAUGCUAGAAUUAAGUGGCUUACCCAUUGAGAAGAUUCCAGAUGCCAUUGGAGAUCUUUUUAGUCUCUGCCAUUUAGGUUUGCGUAAUUCAAAAGUGAAGAUGCUCCCGAGGUCUAUUGAAAAGCUUUCAAAUUUGUUGACACUGGACCUUUAUAGGUCAGAUAUACAUUAUUUGCCUAGUGGGGUUGUCAACCUGAAGAAGCUUAGGCACUUAUUUGCUGAGCAAAUGAAUUAUCUAGAUUGGAGGGAUAUUCAUUCUCACAGUGGUAUGACUAUCCCCAUUGGUCUUGGGAAUCUAACAAACCUGCAAACCCUACGAACAUUGGAAGUGCAGGGUGAGUCAGUUAGACAUUUGGGGGAGCUGAGGCAACUGAGAAGCUUGAGGUUAUCAAAUGUAAAGGGAAUCUACUGUGGACGCAUCCGCGAGUCUCUAGUUCAUAUGCAGUAUUUGUCCAAGCUAUCUGUGAAUGCAAGUGAUGAGAACGAGGUUCUCUUGUUGAACGCCCUCCCGCCAAAUCUGCAAACGCUAUCGUUGAGAGGACGAUUAGAACAAGGGUCGUUGGAUGAGUCUCCUCUCUUCCAAUCUGAUGGAGGACAGAACUUGUGUGCAUUGGCUCUGUCUUGGUCACAACUGAGAAAAGACCCACUGCCAUCGCUUUCUUUGUUGUCGAACUUGACACUUCUACACUUCACCAGAGCGUACAACGGAGAGCAGCUGACAUUUCUCACGGGGCGGUUUCCCAAGCUAAAGAUUCUCUUUCUAAGAGACCUGCCUAAUCUGAACCAGCUAGAGAUAUAG